UCCAGGAGGAAGGGACUGUUAGCAGCAUAGGAUUGAGGAGUUGGAAGAGACCUUUAGAAUAGCUGGUCGUUAUGCCAAUCAGGUGUUUGCACUAAGUUUGUCAUCAAUAUGGUAACCUUCUGGGAGCAGGGGGCCACCAGGUUGCCUAAGGACGAGUGAACUGGCCCAGGUCAGAAAGGGACCAGGUCAGAACUCCUGCACCAACCGGUAGUGGGACUGUGCCUGGGCAAUAUAGCAAGAUCUUGGUUCUUAAAA
Unclassified non-coding RNA from Theropithecus gelada (gelada), 255 nucleotides. It matches the Rfam family "Metazoan signal recognition particle RNA". Rfam says of the family: The signal recognition particle (SRP) is a universally conserved ribonucleoprotein. It is involved in the co-translational targeting of proteins to membranes. The record is from Ensembl. Lineage: Eukaryota; Metazoa; Chordata; Mammalia; Primates; Cercopithecidae.